Molecule: ribosomal RNA, 253 nt
Filed under: uncultured bacterium
Lineage: Bacteria
Description: partial 16S ribosomal RNA
Rfam family: Bacterial small subunit ribosomal RNA
Source: RNAcentral
UACGUAGGGGGCAAGCGUUGUCCGGAAUUAUUGGGCGUAAAGCGCGCGCAGGCGGUCCUUUAAGUCUGAUGUGAAAGCCCACGGCUCAACCGUGGAGGGUCAUUGGAAACUGGGGGACUUGAGUGCAGAAGAGGAGAGUGGAAUUCCACGUGUAGCGGUGAAAUGCGUAGAGAUGUGGAGGAACACCAGUGGCGAAGGCGACUCUCUGGUCUGUAACUGACGCCGAGGCGCGAAAGCGUGGGGAGCAAACAGG